Molecule: ribosomal RNA, 450 nt
Filed under: uncultured bacterium
Lineage: Bacteria
Description: partial 16S ribosomal RNA
Rfam family: Bacterial small subunit ribosomal RNA
Source: RNAcentral
CCUACGGGUGGCAGCAGUGAGGAAUAUUGGGCAAUGCCCGCAAGGGUGACCCAGCAACGCCGCGUGGAGGAUGAAGGCCGUAAGGUUGUAAACUCCUGUUAGAGGAGAAGAAUAGUACCGAUUGGAUCGGUAUUUGACUGUACCCUCAGAGAAAGCCCCGGCUAACUACGUGCCAGCAGCCGCGGUAAUACGUAGGGGGCAAGCGUUGUCCGGCGUUACUGGCGCGCAAGCGCGCGCGGGCGGGAUAGGUUAAAUCCUACAGCUUAACUGUAGAACUGCCUUUGAUACUGUUAUUCUUGAGUUCGGGAGAGAGAGACGGAAUUCCAGGUGUAGUGGUGAAAUACGUAGAUAUCUGGAAGAACACCAGUUGCGAAGGCGGUCUCUUGGUCCGAUACUGACGCUGAGGCGCGAAAGCGUGGGGAGCAAACAGGAUUAGAUACCCUUGUAGUC